UCGGGAAUUUUGGGCAAUGGGCGAAAGCCUGACCCAGCAACGCCGCGUGGAUGAUGAAGGCCUUAGGGUUGUAAAAUCCUUUCGUUGGGGACGAUAAUGACGGUACCCAAAGAAGAAGCUCCGGCUAACUUCGUGCCAGCAGCCGCGGUAAUACGAAGGGGGCUAGCGUUGUUCGGAUUUACUGGGCGUAAAGCGCGUGUAGGCGGAUUUGUAAGUUGGGGGUGAAAUCCCGAGGCUCAACCUCGGAACUGCCUCCAAAACUACAAGUCUGGACCUAAGUAGAGGCAAGUGGAAUUGCGAGUGUAGAGGUGAAAUUCGUAGAUAUUCGCAGGAACACCAGUGGCGAAGGCGACUUGCUGGACUUAUGGUGACGCUGAGGCGCGAAAGCCAGGGGAGCAAACGGGAUUAGAUACCCUUGUAGUCCCUGAGCGGGCUGGCAAGGCGCAU
RNAcentral lists this ribosomal RNA (447 nucleotides) under uncultured bacterium. Its description in RNAcentral is "bacterial SSU rRNA". It matches the Rfam family "Bacterial small subunit ribosomal RNA", at positions 355 to 825 of the family's 1533-position model. The record is from RNAcentral.